RNAcentral lists this ribosomal RNA (326 nucleotides) under uncultured prokaryote. RNAcentral describes it as "partial 16S ribosomal RNA". It matches the Rfam family "Bacterial small subunit ribosomal RNA", at positions 26 to 352 of the family's 1533-position model. The record is from RNAcentral.
AGAUUGAACGCUGGCGGCAUGCCUAACACAUGCAAGUCGAGCGGCAGCGCGGGGGCGACCCUGGCGGCGAGCGGCGGACGGGUGAGUAACACGUGAGCAACCUACCCCAGAGACUGGGAUAACACCGGGAAACCGGUGCUAAUACCAGAUGUCUUCCCUUGACCGCAUGAUCGGGGGAAGAAAUGAAUUUCGCUCUGGGAGGGCUCGCGGUCCAUCAGCUUGUUGGCGGGGUAACGGCCCACCAAGGCAUCGACGGAUAGCUGGUCUGAGAGGACGAUCAGCCACACUGGAACUGAGACACGGUCCAGACUCCUACGGGCGGCAGC